GGCGUGAUGACAGAAGGAUUUAAGCAGAGGUGAUCAACGGAGGGGGGCGGAGGGCGGGCUGUGAUCCACGCCAGAGUGUUAACCCCUGUGUGGUUCCCUCUCGCCUUGGAUCCCGUUCCAAGCGCUCUCUCGGGCUCCGGCAUCUCAGGUCUGUACCAAGCCGGGCCGAGGUCCCCACUGGAUAACCCGGACCCCUCAGAGGUGUCAGCCUGCCAGAGCUCCUUGCCGUCAUGCCGUCCGGAUUCCGCUCACCCUCCAACAGCCAGGUCCCUGUUACCUCCACCUAACCCGGGGCUCCAUCUCUUGGAGGACCCGAUGUGUCCGAUCCUCCUCAUUCCCCCUGGCUCGAGUCCGCUCACGUGCACGGUUGCCGAGGUCCCCACCGAAUAACCCGGACCCUGUCAGCCUGCUGCAGCUCUUUGCCAUCACGCCGUUCGGAUUCUGCUCAUCCUCCAACAGCCAGCUCCCUGUUACCUCAGCCUCCUAACCCGGGAGCUCCAUCUCUUGGUGGACCGGCUGUCUGCUCCUCUUCUUACCCCCCUGGCCGAGUCCCCUCACGCGCACAAAGACAGCAAACAGCUGAUCGCUCUCUUUCUCUCUCUCUCGCUAACUUUCAGAUUCUCUCCGCAGUUUGUGCAUACCUGGCCAGCGUCGGUGCCGGUU
This is a long non-coding RNA of Cyprinodon variegatus (sheepshead minnow), 663 nucleotides long. RefSeq lists it as uncharacterized. NCBI's taxonomy places the organism in Eukaryota, Metazoa, Chordata, Actinopteri, Cyprinodontiformes, Cyprinodontidae. The record is from RefSeq and is a predicted model, not a curated record. The transcript is spliced from 3 exons.